CAGCAGCAGCCACGGUAAUACAGAGGGUGCGAGCGUUAAUCGGAUUUACUGGGCGUAAAGCGUGCGUAGGCGGCUUCUUAAGUCGGAUGUGAAAUCCCUGAGCUUAACUUAGGAAUUGCAUUCGAUACUGGGAAGCUAGAGUAUGGGAGAGGAUGGUAGAAUUCCAGGUGUAGCGGUGAAAUGCGUAGAGAUCUGGAGGAAUACCGAUGGCGAAGGCAGCCAUCUGGCCUAAUACUGACGCUGAGGUACGAAAGCAUGGGGAGCAAACAGGAUUAGAUACCCCUGUAGUCCCUGUCUCUUAUAA
RNAcentral lists this ribosomal RNA (304 nucleotides) under uncultured bacterium. RNAcentral's name for it is "partial 16S ribosomal RNA". It matches the Rfam family "Bacterial small subunit ribosomal RNA", at positions 506 to 809 of the family's 1533-position model. The record is from RNAcentral.